RNAcentral lists this unclassified non-coding RNA (328 nucleotides) under soil metagenome. RNAcentral describes it as "partial contains 5.8S ribosomal RNA, internal transcribed spacer 2, and large subunit ribosomal RNA". The stretch from base 1 to 120 matches the Rfam family "5.8S ribosomal RNA", at positions 35 to 154 of the family's 154-position model. The record is from RNAcentral.
GAUGAAGAACGCAGCGAAAUGCGAUAAGUAAUGUGAAUUGCAGAAUUCAGUGAAUCAUCGAAUGUUUGAACGCACAUUGCGCCCCUUGGUAUUCCGAGGGGCAUGCCUGUUCGAGCGUCAUUAUAACCCCUCAAGCUCAGCUUGGUGUUGGGGCCUGCUGCACUGGCAGCCCUUAAAAUCAGUGGCGGCGCCAUCUGGCUCUAAGCGUAGUAAUUCUUCUCGCUAUGGAGUCCUGGUGGAUGCUUGCCAUCAACCCCCAAUUUUUCUAUGGUUGACCUCGGAUCAGGUAGGGAUACCCGCUGAACUUAAGCAUAUCAAUAACGGAGGA